GUUGGGCUAGCUAGGUAAUUAGCACUCUCCCACUGUUGGUGGCACACAAGAGAAAGUACGUACGUAGUACUAUAUAUACUGCUAGCUAUAGUAAGUAGAUGCUAUGUAAUUCUAUACCGGCCUCCAGUGCAAUGGUCAAAUAUAGUGUUCGAACAAAGACCAAAAAUUGGUCUACUACAGGAAGUUUAAUUUAUAUAGAGAGAGAAAUAGAUCGAGCAGCCUGUACACAUUUUUUUUUCAGCUUUAGUUUGCAAAAAGUACUCUCACUCUUAUUAUCAGGACAAAAGGCUAUAGCUGCAGUGUAUAUAUAUUUCCUGCCACUAGCUGCCCGCCAGCUGGUGACGACGAUCGCGGCAAUCCAAUGACAUCUGUGACGCUGGAGAAUAUAAGGUGAAGCAAAGAUUCGAACAAUAUACUGCAGAAAAAGUUGCUGUCCAGGUGACGAAAACUGAACAGGAGUAUUAAUUGGAGAGAAAGAAAGGCACAACGUCUGUCCUCUUACGCGUCAGGAAUCAGCACAUAACUGGCUUACUUGUCAUGCUUACACGCUAAGUGCUCCUUCUCCUAAUUAUUGUUCUUGCUAGCAGCUGCUGCUGAUGCCAUUAAUCAUUGGUCGACAUAUAUACCUGUGUUAAGUACGUACCUUACACGUUGCAUGUGUGCCUGCUAUACCAAUUUGUUGAUCUCAGUCUGUCUUUCUUUUGAAAAGAUGCUUUCUGUUGGAUCCCUACUGCGUACCCGGCCCCAUCACUUCCUCUUUAAUUCUCACUCGAUCUUUGCGUGUUUCAUAAUUAGCUUAACUGACAUGUUGUAGAGUUGUUUGGAUCAAACUAGAUCACCCGAAAUUUGCUGAUGCGAGAUAGAAAGUUUAUAUGAUUGAACUGUAGCUAGCCUUAGCUAGUGGAUCCACGUAAUUGGGUGCCCGUUUUUUUUUUUUUAAGAUAUCUCUUUCUAUAUAAUGGGUGUACUGUUUGGAGAUCUGUUAUUGGUAGUAUACCAAAAGGUAAACAUGGCGCUUUAAACAUGGAUGAUGUACUACCUCUAUGAUCUUUGGAAACAGUUGACAUUCUAGAAUGCGCAUUCUAUAGAUCUGAAGGUUGAUACAUACUCCCUCUGUUCUAAAAUGAGGAAACUUUUUGUUGACUGUCAAAUUUUGACCAAACUUUUAAAACAAAGUAUCAACAUAUGUGAUGUCAGACCAAGAUAGUACGAAAAUAUAUUUCACAAUGAAUGAAUCUAAUUAUCCUAUGUGGCAUCUUAGAUGUUGAUAUUUUUUGUUAUAUGAUUGGUCAAACUUUAACAAAUUCGGCACUCAACGAUAGUUAUGAUUUCUAUAUUUUGGAACGGGGUGUGUUUGGAACUUGAAAGGCAUGCAAUAGUGCGCGCUGGCCACACGCCCAUGCAUUCUGUUGGAUGGUGUGCUUGCUGCGUGGAAUGUGUGUUUAAUUUGACUUUUUGCCUUUCGGUGUGCGCCUUGCAUUUGCUACACCUGGCGCACCAAACUUUUUUCUCGUGUAGUCUUGCUGUUGCUGCACGUGGAAAGCUUACAUAUAUAUGUGCACUCACUAGCUAGCGAAGCUCUACCUGACGUACUAUACGUGCAGGGUUUGAGUACUGUCUGUUGAGGACCAAUAAGAGCGUCCACGACAACCUGAUUAGAGUAGCA
RNAcentral lists this long non-coding RNA (1666 nucleotides) under Brachypodium distachyon (stiff brome). RNAcentral describes it as "long non-coding RNA (BDIS_LNC004934)". Lineage: Eukaryota; Viridiplantae; Streptophyta; Magnoliopsida; Poales; Poaceae. The record is from RNAcentral.